AAAAAAAAAAAAAAAAAAAAAAAAAAAAAUGAGAGGAAAAUACUUGGAGUAUAAUCGGGGAAACUGUCCAGUCCUCGAAGCCUAGAGCAGCUCUGUCAAGGCUCCUGAUGGUUUCUGCCAGCACAAUGCCGCCAAUGCAGCUCAUGUCCUCCAUCUGUCGAAUCAUAGGGCAAAAUCGCAGAUCCACGAAGCCUGGGUCCUUGUGAAACAAGAAACCAGCUAAUAAGCAAAAACCAAGGCCC
This 242-nucleotide long non-coding RNA is filed under the name Jatropha curcas. Its description in RNAcentral is "long non-coding RNA (JCUR_LNC000317)". Lineage: Eukaryota; Viridiplantae; Streptophyta; Magnoliopsida; Malpighiales; Euphorbiaceae. The record is from RNAcentral.